UACGUAGGGGGCAAGCGUUGUCCGGAAUCAUUGGGCGUAAAGGGCGCGUAGGCGGCGUUUUAAGUCGGGGGUGAAAGCCUGUGGCUCAACCACAGAAUGGCCUUCGAUACUGGGACGCUUGAGUAUGGUAGAGGUUGGUGGAACUGCGAGUGUAGAGGUGAAAUUCGUAGAUAUUCGCAAGAACACCGGUGGCGAAGGCGGCCAACUGGACCAUUACUGACGCUGAGGCGCGAAAGCUAGGGGAGCGAACGGG
Molecule: ribosomal RNA, 253 nt
Filed under: uncultured bacterium
Lineage: Bacteria
Description: partial 16S ribosomal RNA
Rfam family: Bacterial small subunit ribosomal RNA
Source: RNAcentral